ACAAAACAACGUUCCUCCAGGACACAGGUGCUGUGUCCAAAUCUAAUUAUUACUCUUCGAUUCAGAUUCAAAGCAAGAAUAAAUUAAUUCAUACUUUUAAUACCUGCCUAUACAGUACCUCUCGUCUCCAGCAGAAAUUAGCUCCGCCCACUUGCGCGUAGCCACUCUGAAUCGAACGCACCUCUCCAAUAUGGCGGACCAAUUACGCUAGCUACCUAGCUGGCACAUUUGCUUUAGUUGCUCCUUCCUUGUUGCAGUCGGAGGAAACAAAACCCCAUCAACCCAGAGCCACUAGUUUCCAGGGGACGUGUUUGCAGCUUGAAUUCCUCUCUCCAGCAGAGUUUUUUUUGCUACUACUUCGUUUCAUCAAGGUUGGAGGAAAGAGUCUCCAAGGUGACACAGCUUGGUGUCAAUAGGAGAAGGUCGCACGGCUUUAGAAGGCUCCAUGGUUUCAGUCUUUCACAGUGUGUCCAGUCCAGAGUGCAGACGCAUCGUGUGAUGGGUGGACUCGUCAACACCACGAGCAGCCGCUGGAGCGGAGGCACAGCCAGGCGGCUCCAUGCUCCAUGUUUCUCCCUGCGGUGGAAAGUUAAAUUUACUUUCACUCUUCAGCUUUGGAUCAUGG
RNAcentral lists this long non-coding RNA (625 nucleotides) under Betta splendens (Siamese fighting fish). RNAcentral describes it as "lncRNA (ENSBSLG00000010811.1)". Lineage: Eukaryota; Metazoa; Chordata; Actinopteri; Anabantiformes; Osphronemidae. The record is from RNAcentral.